CUGCUUUCUGUCCUAACCUCUCCUGCAUUCUCCUUCCCUUGAACUUCAUCCAUACAUUUCCAAUUUGUUGACCUCCCCCCC
Molecule: long non-coding RNA, 81 nt
Organism: Amblyraja radiata (thorny skate)
Lineage: Eukaryota; Metazoa; Chordata; Chondrichthyes; Rajiformes; Rajidae
Exons: 3
Source: RefSeq, a predicted model, not a curated record